GAGAUGUUGGGUUAAGUCCCGCAACGAGCGCAACCCUCAUCCUUAGUUGCCAUCACGUUUGGGUGGGCACUCUAGGGAAACUGCCGGUGCUAAGCCGGAGGAAGGCGGGGAUGACGUCAAGUCCUCAUGGCCCUUACGGGUUGGGCUACACACGUGCUACAAUGGCAUAUACAGAGGGAUGCGAGACAGUGAUGUGGAGCGGACCCCUUAAAGUAUGUCGUAGUCCGGAUUGGAGUCUGCAACUCGACUCCAUGAAGUCGGA
Molecule: ribosomal RNA, 262 nt
Filed under: Ochromonas sp. CCMP1393
Lineage: Eukaryota; Chrysophyceae; Chromulinales; Chromulinaceae
Description: partial Bacterial small subunit ribosomal RNA
Rfam family: Bacterial small subunit ribosomal RNA
Source: RNAcentral